GGGAGAAAUCCGAAACAGCUUUCUACACGGAGCUGCUGCUCCUGCGUGCGGGCCCCACCCAGCUCAGAGCCAAACAGCUUAGGGAGCCAAGGGAUGCCUUGAACCUUGCAGGGGACAGGAAGGAAUCUCUCGGGCCAGGGUAUUUGUAGCAGCGUUGCAUUGCGUGAUGCUGUCUUCUACUCUUUCUUGGAAGUGAAAGUCCUUCCCUCUACAUUUCAAAACACCAACAGGCGAAAAGACCUAUAGAACAACAAGGUAUCAAAGGAGGCAACAAGCCUGGAAACUAGAAAUUGGAGAUCAAGGCACCAGCCUGGCUGAGUUCCGAUGCAGGACCUCCUCCGGAUUGCAGACGGCCACCUUUCCUCUGUCUUCACAUGAGGACAAGAGGACAAGAGAGGUCUCUAGGGUCCCUUUUAUAAGGGCGUGAAUCCCAUUUAAGAGGCCUUCACCCUCAUGACCUAAUCACCUCCCAAAGUCCCACCUCCUAAUCCCAUCACACUGGGAGUUAGGAUUUCAACAUGUAAAUCUGGAGGAGACACAAACAUUCAGUCCAUACACAGGCUAUGUUAGGAGACAUGGCAUUUAUCUGUGGGCCUUCAUAAUACUGGCGCUAAAUUUUAAACUAACACUUAAUGCCAGAAUUAGCAAGUGUAGCUAAGGCAGCCCAGAGAGACAGCAAUCGAGACAAUGUGCAUUCAUCAGGCAGCCUCCUCCAGAGACACAAGGAAGGGCGUGAGUGGUGUGGGUCAUUGCCACUUCCAAACCAGCUGAUCAAAAGAGAUCCCAGGGGUACAAGGGAGACAGACAGUCCCCAGGAGAAGCCAGCAAGAAGAUGAACAGACAAAUACAAAGCCAGGAGGGGGGUUCCACUGAGGGGAAUAUGGAGGGAUUUGGGGAUGAGCUGCUGCAGGUGUGAGGUCUCCAGCAGGACAGACAGAAAGGGAGGUAGAGGAGGACAAGCCACGGGGAAGGGAAAGAGAUGGUGGAGCCUGGAGGAGCUCUCAGGGCUCAGCACGGGGCUGUGGUGGCUGUCAGCCUUUGGUUGGGGCAGGAGGGGAGCUGGAAGGCAGCCUCCGUGCUGGGAAAGUGGGUCCUGAGUUUUCAGUCCUCAUGCCCAAUGGCCUUGGCCCCCAGCUAUCUUUUGGAAACUCAGAGCUGACCCAGUCCCCAGUCAAUGACCUUGGGCAUGUCUUCAGCAACUCCAAGGAAAAGGAUGAUGCCCUUGGCAUGACUUCCCGAGCCCCCUCUGUAACCCUACUUGUCUUCCCAACCUCGUCUCCCAUCGCUCUGCCUUGUCCCCCUCCUGACUUUGGCUUCACUGCAAGACUCUCCUCUGAGCCGCGGAUCCUCCAGGACUGAGGAGGAAUGGGAAGGCCAAGGUGGGCAGCUCCUGGAAGGUCAGGCCUGCCAGGGAAGCCCAUUCAGGGGGCGGUCCUGAGGCCAGGCCAGUCCAUAUUCUAAGCAGUAUUUAGAAGGGAGGACACAAGCUUUGAGCUCAAAGACAAAGUUGGAGGGGAACAGACAGAGCAUGGGAGGGCUGGGUUGGGAGGCCAUGAGCCC
Molecule: long non-coding RNA, 1560 nt
Organism: Homo sapiens (human)
Lineage: Eukaryota; Metazoa; Chordata; Mammalia; Primates; Hominidae
Exons: 3
Source: RefSeq, a predicted model, not a curated record